This is a long non-coding RNA of Gallus gallus (chicken), 1330 nucleotides long. The record is from Ensembl. Lineage: Eukaryota; Metazoa; Chordata; Aves; Galliformes; Phasianidae.
AUCUUGCUGGAGAUCCCUGAGGUCUUCCAAAGCGCCGCAGUACCUGUAUCUUAAUCAGUCAGUGUCAGACAGUGUCACAGGCUCGAAAUGCUUCUCUAAGCAAAGCACAGCACAAAUACCUCCCUGCUGCUUGUAGCUUAGGUUACCAUUACCAGACUAGGCUCCCGAUGUAACACUUAAAUGCUCCAAAGCAGCUGAAAUCCUCGGGCAUGUCGGCGCCAACACGUGUGCAGAACAGGACACCCCUCGGCCCCACACCAGACUGCUUCUGUGCUCUCGUGAUUCUCACUGCAGCUGCCACUCCAGUAGCAACAGCACAGGCAGAGGCAGAGCUGACAAAGGACCGCCGGUGUGGCUGAUGCGAUUUCAGUCGUGUAUGUUAUAGCAAAAAGAAUGAGGACAUGUUGUAUUUCUUAUAUCAAAAUGAUAUGUGCUCCUCAGGCUGUCUGAUUUAUAACUUCCCUGAAUGGCAUUAUUGAAAUCAGAAAGGAACAAGGCGGAAACCUAUCCAAAAUGAAAUGGUGACAUAAAUAAGAGUUUUAGAGGAAACAACGGAAGAGCUGACAAUAGGCAAUAAUUGCAGCUCCAUCAAAGCUAGAGUAGUUUACUGUUCCCAGCAGUGAAUCUAGCAUCAAAGGGAAUCCUAAACCUGAAACCCUUGGAAAGAAGUGAGUUAUCAGCAGUACAAGGUGAUUCCUGUGGAGAACAAAGAGAACGUUUUGUGAGUGGGACAGCCUGGACUUCCCCAAAUUGGAGGCAGAGUGCUCUUCCCUGAGCGUGCUGAGGUUAAGAUUGGGCUUUUAGGCCUUUUGCUGUGUCUGCAUUUUCCUUGAGGCCUUGUACCAUUGAGGCAUGGGGAAAUAGGGCUUUAUUUUUCAAAAGAUUAUUCAAGUUGCAUCUGUUCAGAGGAUCUUGCCAGAGAAGUCUUCAAGUUCCCUCGGUUAGACCUGUUGUGUUAACAGAGGAAUCUGCUGAACCUUGGCACCAUGGGCACGGAAUAUUUACGGCAGCUUUAUUAAAAUUUUGGUGUUAAAAUACUUUACUGAAUAACAGCCAGCAAUCAUAAAUUUCAGUAACUUGAAUUUUAGCUUGUCGGUUAUCUUUUGAGUGUCCUUCUGAUGCUGUGUGUGUGGAAGAAAAGUAACUGAUUGUUUGGAGCUCUUGCCUAUGUUCAAUUAAUGUGGAAAUGCAGAGGGGAGAUGAUAACUUUCCACUAGGUGUUCCAAUUUGUCUGGGUCAGUCUGUGCACUAACAAGAACUGUCUUCACGUGCAGAGGAAGGCAGUUUUACUUUUGUCUUUGAUUUUCACUGACAGUAUUCCUUCUGUCCC